GAGGGGAUAGCUCAGUGGUAGAGUGCAUGCUUAGCAUGCACGAGGUCCUGGGUUCAGUCCUCAGUCCCUCA
Molecule: transfer RNA, 71 nt
Filed under: Camelus bactrianus (Bactrian camel)
Lineage: Eukaryota; Metazoa; Chordata; Mammalia; Artiodactyla; Camelidae
Also listed under: 2 other names
Rfam family: tRNA
About the family: Transfer RNA (tRNA) molecules are approximately 80 nucleotides in length. Their secondary structure includes four short double-helical elements and three loops (D, anti-codon, and T loops).
Source: Rfam by way of RNAcentral